Molecule: ribosomal RNA, 115 nt
Filed under: Alphaproteobacteria bacterium GWB1_45_5
Lineage: Bacteria; Pseudomonadati; Pseudomonadota; Alphaproteobacteria
Also listed under: 1 other name
Source: RNAcentral
CCUGGUGGUUAUAGCGAGGAAUCUACACACGAUCCCAUCCCGAACUCGACCGUGAAAGUCCUCUGCGCCAAUGAUACUACACCUCGACGUGUGGGAAAGUAGGUCGCUGCCAGGU